RNAcentral lists this non-coding RNA (29 nucleotides) under Mus musculus (house mouse). Lineage: Eukaryota; Metazoa; Chordata; Mammalia; Rodentia; Muridae. The record is from RNAcentral.
AGCUCAAAUGUGUUCUCUGUGAAGCUUUC